This 253-nucleotide ribosomal RNA is filed under the name uncultured bacterium. Its description in RNAcentral is "partial 16S ribosomal RNA". It matches the Rfam family "Bacterial small subunit ribosomal RNA", at positions 524 to 776 of the family's 1533-position model. The record is from RNAcentral.
UACGGAGGAGGCAAGCGUUGUUCGGAAUUACUGGGCGUAAAGGGCUCGUAGGCGGCCAACUAAGUCGGAUGUGAAAUCCCCAGGCUUAACCUGGGAAUUGCAUCCGAUACUGGAUGGCUUGAAUCCGGGAGAGGGAUGCGGAAUUCCAGGUGUAGCGGUGAAAUUCGUAGAUAUUCGGAAGAAAACCAGUGGCGAAGGCGACUAGAUGGACAGGUAUUGACGCUGAGGUGCGAAAGCGUGGGGAGCAAACAGG